GACGAACGCUGUCGGCGUGCUUAACACAUGCAAGUCGAACGGAAAGGCCCUGCUUUUGUGGGGUGCUCGAGUGGCGAACGGGUGAGUAACACGUGAGUAACCUACCCUUGACUUUGGGAUAACUUCAGGAAACUGGGGCUAAUACCGGAUAGGAGCUCCUGCUGCAUGGUGGGGGUUGGAAAGUUUCGGCGGUUGGGGAUGGACUCGCGGCUUAUCAGCUUGUUGGUGGGGUAGUGGCUUACCAAGGCUUUGACGGGUAGCCGGCCUGAGAGGGUGACCGGCCACAUUGGGACUGAGAUACGGCCCAGACUCCUACGGGAGGCAGCAGUGGGGAAUAUUGCACAAUGGGCGGAAGCCUGAUGCAGCAACGCCGCGUGCGGGAUGACGGCCUUCGGGUUGUAAACCGCUUUCGCCUGUGACGAAGCGUGAGUGACGGUAAUGGGUAAAGAAGCACCGGCUAACUACGUGCCAGCAGCCGCGGUGAUACGUAGGGUGCGAGCGUUGUCCGGAUUUAUUGGGCGUAAAGGGCUCGUAGGUGGUUGAUCGCGUCGGAAGUGUAAUCUUGGGGCUUAACCCUGAGCGUGCUUUCGAUACGGGUUGACUUGAGGAAGGUAGGGGAGAAUGGAAUUCCUGGUGGAGCGGUGGAAUGCGCAGAUAUCAGGAGGAACACCAGUGGCGAAGGCGGUUCUCUGGGCCUUUCCUGACGCUGAGGAGCGAAAGCGUGGGGAGCGAACAGGCUUAGAUACCCUGGUAGUCCACGCUGUAAACGGUGGGUACUAGGUGUGGGGUCCAUUCCACGGGUUCCGUGCCGUAGCUAACGCUUUAAGUACCCCGCCUGGGGAGUACGGCCGCAAGGCUAAAACUCAAAGGAAUUGAUGGGGCCCCGCACAAGCGGCGGAGCAUGCGGAUUAAUUCGAUGCAACGCGUAGAACCUUACCUGGGUUUGACAUGGAUCGGGAGUGCUCAGAGAUGGGUGUGCCUCUUUUGGGGUCGGUUCACAGGUGGUGCAUGGCUGUCGUCAGCUCGUGUCGUGAGAUGUUGGGUUAAGUCCCGCAACGAGCGCAACCCUUGUUCACUGUUGCCAGCACGUUAUGGUGGGGACUCAGUGGAGACCGCCGGGGUCAACUCGGAGGAAGGUGGGGAUGACGUCAAGUCAUCAUGCCCCUUAUGUCCAGGGCUUCACGCAUGCUACAAUGGCUGGUACAGAGAGUGGCGAGCCUGUGAGGGUGAGCGAAUCUCGGAAAGCCGGUCUCAGUUCGGAUUGGGGUCUGCAACUCGACCUCAUGAAGUCGGAGUCGCUAGUAAUCGCAGAUCAGCAACGCUGCGGUGAAUACGUUCCCGGAGCU
RNAcentral lists this ribosomal RNA (1346 nucleotides) under uncultured bacterium. Its description in RNAcentral is "partial 16S ribosomal RNA". It matches the Rfam family "Bacterial small subunit ribosomal RNA", at positions 28 to 1381 of the family's 1533-position model. The record is from RNAcentral.